Molecule: RNA transcript, 7624 nt
Organism: Myotis myotis
Lineage: Eukaryota; Metazoa; Chordata; Mammalia; Chiroptera; Vespertilionidae
Exons: 3
Source: RefSeq, a predicted model, not a curated record
GUGGGGUGGGGACAGGGCAGAGAGCCCAGGCAGCUUUGAGCCCGAGGCCAAGUACAGGGAGCCAGCGGAGAGCAUUUGCAAUUGCGGUAAAGCAUGAGGGAGCAGGCAGCUCGGCGGCCCGCGGGGAACAAAGCACCUGAGAAGCACUGACUGUAAACAGUGCAAGAGGGAGAGAGAAACAGGAAAAGACGGGAAGACAGAGGAGAGAGAGCCGGGAGGCCCUUCCGAAAGUCCCAAUGAAUGGCCUUGCUCGGGAAGCUCAGGAGACACAGCAGGUCAAGGCCACAGGCGCAGAGGAGCUGCAUGUCCAGCUGCUGCGGGGACAGCUCGGAGGAAGGCAGGCCUGGAAAGCAGGGCGCGGGGCUGCAGGGAGCUGUGUACUCACUCGAUGGGCUUCCCCCGGAUCUCAGACAUGAUGGAACUUUCUCCCCCGAGGUACUCAUAGCACAGGCUCAGGAAAUUGUAGAUGACCAAGGCUGUGAAAAGAGGGUCCACAGUAAACCACUCCCAUCAACAGGACGGUCAACAGACGGCAGAACUCUGAGCAGCAACGAAGUGAAAGACCAGUCACAGCAGCAACAGAGAGCCCUGAGGGACAGGAGAGCCGCACCGUGAGCUGAACACUCCAUUUUAACCAAAACCAGGCCGCACCAGUCGCACUGCUUGGGAUGCUACGCACUGCUCUCACUCUACAGCGUGCACAUGGCGACCUCAGAAGUCAGCUCUGUGUGGGGAGACGGGAGGACAGGCGGUUAGGGUGGGCACGGAGGGGCCUUGGGGGAGCUGGCCGUGUGCCCGCUCUGGGGUUCAACCAGGUACUGGCUUUAGAAUUCAUCCUAUGCUCUUUUCUAUUGUGUUAUGGACCACGAAUUUACAGCAAAACAACAAUAAAACAUUCUCCGGGGGGCUCUCAGGAAACAUUCUAAGCAAGAAUGAGACGGCAGCACUCCGUUCGCUCACAACCUGCAGUGCACCUGCGUCUGCACUAAACACAGGAGAGGUGCGGAAAGAGGCACACGUCUUGAGAAGCUGGGUCAGCUCGUUCUGAGUCAGGAGGCGACUGGACAUCCCCACAAAGAUAGAAUCUGCGAGAGCGACCGCCCGCCGGCAGAGAAGUAUGUUGUAAAUGCUACGCUAUAAAUACAGCAAUGCGCUGUGAUGGCUCCUGGUCAGAGAUGUCUGCUGGGUCAGCAAAGCGAAGGCUGCUGCCUGCAGGUGCCAGAGCGAAGGGGUGUGCCAGGAGCGAGGAGGGCGAGCGUGGAAGAAAGAGUGAGUGUGUGGCAGAGGACACCACAAAGGACGGGGCCGGAGGGUCGGGGCCGGAGCAGGGAGCGAGGAGAGGCAUCCAGAAAAGCAUGGCCAGGGCAAGGUCAACAUGGGGCCAGAGAGGCCCCUUCUCCUCUGACCCUGCGUCCCCUGCAGCACGAAGGCCUCGGGGCUCCUGGCACAGCCCCUGGUUUGGCACUCAGGGUCUCCCCACUGAUGACGUGGUCCCUGCCCACCCCUCACUCUUCCUGCCCAGCAACGCUGGACGCCCCUUUCCAUCAGCAGGUUAUUGCUUUUGCACUGGCUGUUCCCACUGCCUGGGGUGCCCCUCCCUCCGCACUCCCAUCAGACACCACCUACCCUGCGAGUCUCUGGCCACCCUAAGCCAGUUCUCUCACCCACAGCCCUGAUGACGUGCAGACGCUGUGCAGACCUCAACACGAAAGGCUGGCGACACAGUCGGUGGCGAACGGUGGCCUUCAACUUGGAAAGGAAGGUAUCUGGGUGCUUUUUGCCACUCACAGCUGGUUCGGGCCUGGAAGUGAGGGCCCCAGGGAGCACCCUCUAUGAACACGACCCAUAGCACCUACCACACUGUGCUGGGACUACCCCUUAGCAGACACAGAGCAGAGGGGUUGCCGCCUGGGUCUGCCACGGGAUUAGCUGUGAGCCUCAGUUUCCUCAUCUGUUAAAUGGGGACGGGAGUCCCUACCUUCACAGGAGGCUGCGAGGUUGAAGUGAGUAUGCAAAGUGUUCGGACGAGUGGGCAGCACUCAGCAGGGCUGCGUGUCGGCUACUACCUGCCUGCCUCCCUCAGGGGCCAGCAUCCCGGGAUGGGCUGGGACCCUGUGUGCUGCCGGCCCAGCACAGGAGCAGCUCAGGAUGUCUGGUGACUGCAGGCAUCCCCACUGAUCACUCAACGACAAGAACUACUCUGGGGUACGGGGAGGGAGCAUCUAGCCAAAUCUGACGUCAGCCUGCUAAUGGCCUUUGUCCAAACCCACACGAGGCCACAUGGAAUGGAUGUGUCCAUCCCAGGCUGGGUCCAGCCAUAUUGUGGUCGACGGUUAUUUUCCAAAGACGGCCACACUCUCUGACACUGACACAACCGCUGCAUACGGUGGACCGGGUGGCGCAGAAGCGAUGCUUCGUGGCAUCUGACACUGGGAUCAGAAGCCUCUUUCCUCUGUUCUUUCCCGAGACGCCUGCCCUUGGAUCCAGUCACCGUGCGGGAAGCCCAGGCUGACCCCCACGUGGGAGGAAUUGAGGGCCCAACAGACACCAGCACCCACUGCCAGACACACGAGUGAGUCAGAUUCCAGAUGAAUCUGCCCCGGCCAAGACCCCGCUACCACGGGCAGGGGCACACCAUGCCCACGUGCGUCCUGAUGCCUGCCUGGCAGUCAGCAGAAGCAGACGGUUGUUUUACACGGGGCUGUUUGGGAUCGUUACCUACACAGCCAUGUAAGUAGAACCUAGACAUAAAACCACCUGUGGCGUUCCCAGGGCGUGCACGCUCCUCACGCGUCCCGAGGCCACAUAUUCUGGUCCCUCUGCCUCCCAGAGGGACCCGCUGAGGUGCCGCCUUCUCCUUGGUGGCCUCCUCUGUCCUGUUGCCAUGCUCACUUCCCACACGGUGAGCUCUCUGCCCAUCCGCCUGGAACUUCCAGUACAAGCAGCAGCGAAGUGGCAGGAAAGCCAUGAACGCCGAGCCAGCCCUCCUGGGUGUGGGCGUGGUCCUACCACUUGGAGCUGUAAACAUGGCCACAUAUUCUGGCUACACUCUCUCCACCAAGAUGUUUCAUUUGGGCCCAGGUUCCAGGGGCUCAGAGCAGCAGGGCAGGCAGCCAUGCCCACACUCAGCUCUGUGCUCCAGUUCGCCCUCUCACGGGAUGCUGAACAGAUUUCCCCAAGGUGAUCAGAUUUCCAGGCCGGAAAGACAAAACCCUCCAGGGAACCCCCAGGGGCCGAAGUUCAUCAGCCCCUCCACACGGAACCACUCUCACAGCCAGGCCUCCUGCCAUCCACGGAGAAGAGCCUGGCGCCUGAGCUCACAUCCUUUCCUGUAUCACAUAGGUCUGCAUGCAGCCAAGCUCUGUGCUCAGUUGGUCAGAACUGUCAAAUCUCAUCCAUCCCUCAGCUCAAGAUUCUCGACCUUUUACCAGUGCUCUGGCCAGCGAGUCUGUAUAACACCAAGUUGGUGACGAUGUCUGUUAAAGAAUCAUGAGUGAGUCGAUAACGCGCUCUCAGAGAAGGGAGGCAAGACAGACUGUCUUCCAGAUGGUCCAACCAGCCCACACCAGGACCAUCUGGACAAGCCAAUCCCUCACCAGAGAGUUCCAGAGCCACCCCAGCACCCGGCCAGGGUGUUCACAAUGACAAGUCAACACACCCCAGGAACCAACACAAAGAUAUGCUGCCCUGGGCAUCGGGAAAGCACAGCAGAUUCGCAGUGAGGUUCUCAGCCAGCGGCCUUGUUGCCUGACUUCCCCCUGACCAUGGUUUCAGUUCUGGCCCCUGGGAGGCCUCAGAGAAACAGAGUAACUCUAUGCCCCCUAAAUGUUUGCUACAGCCUCUGUGCUAGGCUCUGUGCUGGGCCCUGGGGACACAGAAAUGACCAAGGAUCCCACAGAAAAGGCCCUCCCGUGUGAAGCAGGGCGUCCAGAAUGAGGGAAGGGACGGUGUCUGUCUGUCUCCGUCUCCUGCUCGGGAAAGUGAGGUACUGGAACUUUGGGCUCCAUCCUGUGCGCCUAGAGAAAUGCACACAGUCAGGAGAGCAGGACAGGGUGGGGAUGAAAUGCGGGCUGUCCUGGGUCCUUGAGGCCUGGAGGGAAGACACUGGCACUCACUCUCUUCAUCUGUGCGCCAGUAACCUUGCCCAGAAGGUCAGACAGGACCUGCUUAAUCCCAGAGGUGGAUCCUACGACCUCUGCUCAGUGUAAGAGGCAGUCUUCAGAGGGGCAAGGUAGUGAGCUCUCUGCUAGUGGAAGCAUGCAAUCAGAGCUCGGCCCUUUCACAUGGGCCACAACCAGGGCAUGGCAGCCCCUUAACAGGCAUUAACUAUAAAGGGCCUGAGCAGCUGACACUUUACAGGUCCCUCCUUUCCAACCCCGAGACGCCUGCCUGACUUUCUCUCCAACCGGAGCAGCAGGGAAAGGAAGCUGUCCUCCAAGAGACUGUUCUCCACCCCGCCCCCCUCAUCCCUGCCCCCCUCCCGGACAACUGCAACAGCACAGCCUUGGGGGCCCCCAAGGCUUCACGAGGGGCUCCCUGACAAGUGCACUCAGCAGCCUCUGCCAGCAAACCCCGGGGCAGGCGUCCUCAUCGGCUCCCCCCCUCCCACACUACAGGUAAGUGAGGCACCCGUCUGCUCCACAGACACUCCCUGGGCCCCAUUCUGUGCCCUGGGUGCACCUGGCCAUCGCCAGCUCACUCCUCCACGCGCCUUCCGCACCGAAAGCAGCCCCGGGGCCUCGCUGUCCUUGCUACACAGACACUGUUAUUUGGAAAGACUCGGGCAUUCGUUUUUCAGAUAACUCACGGGUGAGCCCGGGAAACUCAGUUUUGACCACUUGGGACAGAAAUCUUCCCUGCUCAGUAAAGAGGGCCUCAGGACUUUCUUUCCUUUUUUCAGGGACUGAUGAUCACUGCGGACAAUAAUGGGCACAGUGCACUACAGCCAGGGCGACGGGCUCUGCCCGACACGAAAGGCCCAGGGGUGCUGCCAGGCAGGUCCUUCCCCCACACUCCCCAUGUCAUGUCUGUCCUUUGCUGGUCCUGCUUCCUGCCACCUGGAAUGCCCUUUCUCUCUCUCAGGACCUCUGCUGGUUCCUUCUGCAAACCUCUUUAUUCUGAUCAGAGCUCCUGUGAGUCCUGGCAGCACAUGGCGUCGCCGGCCUUCUGUGGCGUGUUUGCGGCCCUCGGCCGGGUUCAUUCUGGCUACACUCUCUCCACCAAGAUGUUUCAUUUGGGGCCAGGUUCCAGGAAGCGAACCUUGUCCAAAUCUGAAACUGGGUGAAUGAAGCGUCAUUCUUUAAUUGUUUCAUCCAGGCCUGUAAAACCUCUUCCCCUGACAAGAGUUCAUAUUUUUCGCUGAGAAACUCAUCCUGUGUUCCUUCACCAAGCCUGGCACAGGGCAACCCCGGGCCUGGGAGCCCCAGGCGAGCCUGGCGUCCAGCAAGCACGUGGGAAAUCCUGGGCCAGCUUCUUAGCCUCUCAAAUUCCUUCCCACGGUUGUAAAAUGGGGGUGAUAUGUAUUCCUCCGGGUAACUGGGAGGUGAGAAUGAGCUAAGCCUAAUGAAAAAUAGGUGGUAAAGCUGUGAGCCCACACCAUCGUUACUGGGAAAACAGUGCUGCGUAAAGCAACGGGAAGCCCUCUCCUCUGCACCCUGGCCUCCUGCACCCCUGGAUCAGCUCCCCAGCUCCUCAGGCUGCCUCAGAGUUAUCUCUAGGAGCUACCUCCCACGCCGACCACAAUCAAACACUAAAUGCAGAGAAGGGGCUGGUUUCCCGGCUACCCCAGCCUGGCGCUGCCGUGUGAACUGCGGUGUGAGUUACAGCCCUCACCAGAUGAAUGCCACUGAGAUGAGAAUGAAUCGGUGGAAAAGUACAAGCCUUCAAGGACAAGGAGAUGGCACCGGAGGCAGCCGACAGCAGUGCUGACAAAAGCUCUGAGAUGCAGCAUGGUCAGCGUGGCCCCCGACCAGGAGGGCCCAGGACUGCAGGGGAAGGUGCAGGUGGAAAACAUGGCUGCAAGUCUGUGCGGCCUUUACUUUCCUGGCCGGUGGGGACAGCUCCUUCCUCAGAGAACUCAGCUCAGCCGAGGGCAGCAACGCGGACACUUGCAGAAAACAGAUGAGGUCUGAAUGUGAAGCGCGAGGUGUCUAGGUCCCUUCCCCCAACUGCACCCUUAACUCAGCGUGCCCAGCUUUCACCACCCAGAGAACAUUAUGACCUGGGGAAACAGGCCCAGGAUAAAAAAAUCUUCAUCGAGUGCCUGUCCCCACCACUGCGUAAAAACGGCACAGGAAAACCAUGUCCUGUCACCCAACUGGGAGGCCGGCAGUGUAAGCCCCAUUCUUCAAUACAAAGAAUAGCCAAGGACACCAGACACUUGAGGAGCGCUUCCAAAACAAAGGUCAAAGGCCAAGACAAACAAACAGGGAAGUCAGGAGACCGAGAUAAUGCAGGAAACAGAAGAAAACUGCAAUUAGCGUCCCGGGAAGGGGAGAUACUCUCUCCCACACCAAGCACAAGGGACUAUAAAAUAGAACAGGAAAGAGCGCCUGACGCUUUACAACACGAUAAAGAAAACAAAACCUUCCGUAGGAAAGCUCAAAGUCCAUUUUUUAAAAAAAGAAUCAGAAUCCAGCAGACUUUCCGAAAACAAUGCUGGAAGCUGAAAGACUGAAAAACCUGCCUUCAGAAUUCAGAGGGAGAGUAAUUUCCGUCUUAGAAUUGUACUCCCAUUGACAACUAACCAAACAGAACAAUAUAAUACAUAUCUGUAGACAAUUUUCAGAUUUCAAAAAACAGAACCCCCAUGCACCCUUUUCUCAGGAAGCUCCUGGGAGCCGAGCUCUAACCAGGAGAGGGCGAAUCACCAACAAGGGAAAAUGACCCCAGGGGACAGGUGGUCAGCACAGGAGCCAGGGUUCCCAGGACGCUGGGAGGGAAGACCCAGGGCAGCUGCCGAGCAGGAGGCCAGACCCAGCCCAGAGCAGGAGGCAGGGCGUCAGGAGGAACAGCACCGAGGAAAACCCAGAGCGAAGGGACAUGCGCCUCCUCUUAGAGAAGGCGCGCUUCUAAUUCAGUGAAGCGUUCGGGAACAAAGUGAUGACAGAUACAGAGCAAACAGAGUAAACCAAACAGCAAGACAAGUGGCAGCAGAGCAAAAGCACAAGGAAAUGUCAUCUCGAGGCACCUGCAGGCUCAGCGUUGAACAAUGUUUAUAGACAUGGAGUAGCGCACACACGAAAUGCGGACUUAGAAACGCUUGUCACCUUAAAAAGAUGAAGGAGCGAAGCGUGUGGGUGUGCACAGCCGGAGGUGAGUGCCUGAGUCACAAGCCGCCCAGAGGAAGAAGUCUGCUACUAAACACUACAUGACACUGGAAAAUCCAGAAACAACAGUCUACGCACGUUUUUAGGUUAUUCAAGGGAAAAAAAGUUUAAGGAGUUGAAAGUGGCCCUGGCCGGGUAGCUCCAUUGGUUAGAUGAUCAUCCUGAUUUUAAAAAAAUAAUAAAAAUAAAAAAAGAGUUGCAAGUGCAGUGAACUUGGGAGUCAGAGGAGUUGGGGCAGCUUGUUUCGUCCAUAUGCAUGUAUGACUUUAAUAAAAAUAAAAUGUUCAUUGUUUUAA